UCGGUGGAGGUUAGUGGAGGAGAUGAGUUGUGGAGAAGAAGCUGUUGGGGAGGAAGACGAUGGAGAAGAGGAGAAGUUUUGUGAGUUUUCUUUUUUCUUAUUUUUUAUUUUAUGCAAAGAGAGAGAAUAGGAACAGUCCCCAAAAAUUUCUUUUUUUUCCUUUAAUGCUCCGAGAGAGAGUCAGCAAAAGUGGAGACUGAGGGGAUGUUUUUUUCCAAUUCCUUUUUUAUUUUCC
Molecule: long non-coding RNA, 235 nt
Filed under: Lathyrus oleraceus (garden pea)
Lineage: Eukaryota; Viridiplantae; Streptophyta; Magnoliopsida; Fabales; Fabaceae
Description: Pisum sativum (pea) long non-coding RNA (PSAT_LNC028295)
Source: RNAcentral